Molecule: ribosomal RNA, 207 nt
Filed under: uncultured bacterium
Lineage: Bacteria
Description: partial 16S ribosomal RNA
Rfam family: Bacterial small subunit ribosomal RNA
Source: RNAcentral
UACGUAGGUGGUUCCGUGUGUCGGGUGUGAAAUCCCACAGCUCAACUGUGGAACUGCAUCCGAAACUGCGGGGCUUGAGUGCAGGAGGGGAGAGCGGAAUUCUUGGUGUAGCGGUGAAAUGCGUUGAUAUCAAGAGGAACACCGGUGGCGAAGGCGGCUCUCUGGAAUGUUACUGACACUGAGGUACGAAAGCUGGGGGAGCGAACA